AAGUGUAUUUUUCUUCUGUGCAUCCUGGCUUUAUACAAUCUAUCUAGAAUAUAGCUCAAAGUCUGUUUGGAGGAUGACUUUCCUCACCAUUUGCUUUUAGACACAUGGAUGUGAGGAGAUAGUGCAGUGAACAUCAUCACUGUCUUUGGGGAAGAUAUUUUUAUUUAUGCAGGAAUAGGAUGAUACUGGCUGGAAGAUGUUGUUACUCUGAAGCAUAAUUUACUUCAAGGGAGUGGAUCGUGCUCACUGCAAGCUGCAUGCUGAAUGAAGAGAGAUGAAUUUCUAGAAAUGUUUGUGUCUGAAGAUCUAGGUCUUGCCCUUCCUGAACCUCUCCCACCUCCAUGGAAUUUAAGUGCCUUCAGCAGAUCUGGAGGACGACUGGAGU
Molecule: long non-coding RNA, 385 nt
Organism: Chroicocephalus ridibundus (black-headed gull)
Lineage: Eukaryota; Metazoa; Chordata; Aves; Charadriiformes; Laridae
Exons: 3
Source: RefSeq, a predicted model, not a curated record